GAGGAUAUAGCUCAGUGGUAGAGCACAUGCCUAGCAUGCGCAAGGUCCUGGGUUUAAUCCCUAGUGUCUUGA
This 72-nucleotide transfer RNA is filed under the name Camelus bactrianus (Bactrian camel). It matches the Rfam family "tRNA". From Rfam's summary of the family: Transfer RNA (tRNA) molecules are approximately 80 nucleotides in length. The record is from Rfam by way of RNAcentral. RNAcentral also lists the same sequence under 2 other names. Lineage: Eukaryota; Metazoa; Chordata; Mammalia; Artiodactyla; Camelidae.